This 243-nucleotide ribosomal RNA is filed under the name uncultured Pseudomonadota bacterium. RNAcentral describes it as "uncultured proteobacterium partial 16S ribosomal RNA". It matches the Rfam family "Bacterial small subunit ribosomal RNA", at positions 35 to 271 of the family's 1533-position model. Lineage: Bacteria; Pseudomonadati; Pseudomonadota. The record is from RNAcentral.
GCUGGCGGCGUGCUUAACACAUGCAAGUCGAACGAGAACGGGUCAUAGCUUGCUAUGACUGUCAGCUAAGUGGCGGACGGGUGAGUAAUGUAUAGUUAAUCUGCCCUUUAGAGGGGGAUAACAGUUGGAAACGACUGCUAAUACCCCAUACUCCUUUUACAUUAAUUGUAAUUGGGAAAUGUUUUUUCGCUAAAGGAUGAGACUAUAUGGUAUCAGGUAGUUGGUGGGGUAAGAGCCUACCAA